Molecule: ribosomal RNA, 253 nt
Filed under: uncultured bacterium
Lineage: Bacteria
Description: partial 16S ribosomal RNA
Rfam family: Bacterial small subunit ribosomal RNA
Source: RNAcentral
UACGGGGGAGGCAAGCGUUGUUCGGAAUUACUGGGCGUAAAGGGUCUGUAGGUGGCUCGCUAAGUCAGACGUGAAAUCCCUCAGCUUAACUGGGGAACUGCGUCUGAGACUGGCAAGCUUGAGUGCAGGAGAGGAACGCGGAAUUCCAGGUGUAGCGGUGAAAUGCGUAGAUAUCUGGAGGAACACCGGUGGCGAAGGCGGCGUUCUGGACUGCAACUGACACUGAUAGACGAAAGCCAGGGGAGCAAACGGG